AUUUGUUGGCCUUAAGUCCCAACCGAUGUCCAUUAGCCGGACUCGAAAGUGAGGAGCCGUUAAUGUGGACUGUGGAUCGAUCUACGUCAUUACGGAUUAAGGGCCUGGAUUUAUCACUGGGUUGGCGGGAUGGUGGGGAACAAGAUGGAUGGAAAGGGAGGGAAAGACAAGAUGCGACUAGGAAGAGACACACCUGACCAGCCCCUCCCCCCAGGCUCAGGUUCCUCCUUUGGGCCCAGCGGCCGGCGAGGCCGCCAGACAUACACGCGUUACCAGACGCUGGAGCUGGAGAAGGAGUUUCACUACAAUCGCUACCUGACGCGGCGGCGGCGCAUCGAGAUCGCGCACGCCCUGUGCCUGACGGA
RNAcentral lists this small RNA (365 nucleotides) under Pongo abelii (Sumatran orangutan). RNAcentral describes it as "processed transcript". The record is from RNAcentral. Lineage: Eukaryota; Metazoa; Chordata; Mammalia; Primates; Hominidae.